RNAcentral lists this non-coding RNA (30 nucleotides) under Rattus norvegicus (Norway rat). Lineage: Eukaryota; Metazoa; Chordata; Mammalia; Rodentia; Muridae. The record is from RNAcentral.
UCCUUCUCUAAAGAGGCCUCCUGUCCCUCC